RNAcentral lists this small RNA (448 nucleotides) under Arabidopsis thaliana (thale cress). RNAcentral's name for it is "ATSL196550". The record is from RNAcentral. Lineage: Eukaryota; Viridiplantae; Streptophyta; Magnoliopsida; Brassicales; Brassicaceae.
ACUUGGAGAAUUGAAGUCUAGGCUCAGAAGGAGUUUAGCUCAGGGUUAGGUUAUCCUGAUUAAAUCUAGACUCAGGGGAGUUUAGUUAAGGGUAGAGAUUAUCCUUAAGGUUUCACGUUUAUAGAAGGGAGCGGUAAAUCAAGAGGGGUGUGCUUGUUUUACGCGUUUGCGAAUUGGUUGUAAUUUGCUUUCUUGUUCUAGUGAAAUCGAAAUCUGGACGUGGUCCCGGGGAGUAGGAAAAACCGAACCUCGUUAACAAAUUUCUUGUCUCUUUACUUUCUGCACUUUAUUGUUACCUCAUCCGCACUUACAAGUGGUAUCAGAGCAGGUUCUUGAUAGAGAUUUAGUCUUGUUUCGAGUAGAUCAGGGUGAGGUUCCGGAGAUCGUUCAGAAGAUCAUUCAGGAAGUAAGACAGAGUUUGAAAUCAAGAUUGAUGGAGAUAUUGAGG